UGGGGAAUUUUGGACAAUGGGGGCAACCCUGAUCCAGCAAUGCCGCGUGAGUGAAGAAGGCCCUCGGGUUGUAAAGCUCUUUUGUCAGGGAAGAAAAGGUUGUGGCUAAUAUCCACAGCUGAUGACGGUACCUGAAGAAUAAGCACCGGCUAACUACGUGCCAGCAGCCGCGGUAAUACGUAGGGUGCAAGCGUUAAUCGGAAUUACUGGGCGUAAAGCGUGCGCAGGCGGUUGAUUAAGUUUGAUGUGAAAUCCCCGGGCUUAACCUGGGAACUGCAUUGAAUACUGGUCAGCUAGAGUGUGUCAGAGGGGGGUAGAAUUCCACGUGUAGCAGUGAAAUGCGUAGAGAUGUGGAGGAAUACCGAUGGCGAAGGCAGCCCCCUGGGAUAACACUGACGCU
Molecule: ribosomal RNA, 400 nt
Filed under: uncultured bacterium
Lineage: Bacteria
Description: bacterial SSU rRNA
Rfam family: Bacterial small subunit ribosomal RNA
Source: RNAcentral